Molecule: ribosomal RNA, 468 nt
Filed under: uncultured bacterium
Lineage: Bacteria
Description: partial 16S ribosomal RNA
Rfam family: Bacterial small subunit ribosomal RNA
Source: RNAcentral
GACGAACGCUGGCGGCGUGCUUAACACAUGCAAGUCGAACGGAAAGGCCCUGCUUUUGUGGUGUGCUCGAGUGGCGAACGGGUGAGUAACACGUGAGUAACCUGCCCUUGACUUUGGGAUAACUUCGGGAAACUGUGGCUAAUACCGGAUAGGAGCUCCUGCUGCAUGGUGGGGGUUGGAAAUUUUGGGCGGGUGGGGAUGGACGCGCGGUAUAUCAGCUUGUGGGUGGGGUAGUGGCUUAACAAGGCUUUGGCGGGUAGCCGGCCUGAGAGGGUGACCGGCCACAUUGGGACUGAGAUACGGCCCAGACUCAUACGGGAGGCAGCAGUGGGGAAUAGUGCACAAUGGGCGGAAGUCUGAUGCAGACACGCCGCGUGCGGGAUGACGGCCUUCGGGUUGUAAACCGCUUUCGCCUGUGACGAAGCGUGAGUGACGGUAAUGGGUAAAGAAGCACCGGCUAACUACGUG